CCCUAUGUGCUGGUACACCAGAUACCGGACAAUGUUGAUGCUGAUGGCAAUCACUGUUUCUAUCUGCCCCUGCCCCGCACUGCGGUCUCACGGCACAACGACCUGGAUUUCAACAUUGCCAACGCUGCGGGGCUGCGCUUCUCAGACUCAGCCGAGGUGAACAUCUACAGCUCCACGCUGGUGACGCUGAUUC
This is a long non-coding RNA of Pollicipes pollicipes, 193 nucleotides long. RefSeq lists it as uncharacterized. The transcript is spliced from 3 exons. NCBI's taxonomy places the organism in Eukaryota, Metazoa, Arthropoda, Thecostraca, Pollicipedomorpha, Pollicipedidae. The record is from RefSeq and is a predicted model, not a curated record.